This 793-nucleotide ribosomal RNA is filed under the name uncultured archaeon. Its description in RNAcentral is "bacterial SSU rRNA". It matches the Rfam family "Archaeal small subunit ribosomal RNA", at positions 85 to 879 of the family's 1478-position model. The record is from RNAcentral.
ACUGCUCAGUAACACGUGGACAACCUGCCCUUAGGUUGGGUAUAAACCCGGGAAACUGGGUAUAAUACCCGAUAGGUCUCGAUUGCUGGAAUGCAUCGAGAUUUAAAGCUCCGGCGCCUAAGGAUGGGUCUGCGGCCUAUCAGGUAGUAGUGGGUGUAGCGUACCUACUAGCCUACGACGGGUACGGGUUGUGAGAGCAAGAGCCCGGAGAUGGAUUCUGAGACACGAAUCCAGGCCCUACGGGGUGCAGCAGGCGCGAAAACUUUACAAUGCUGGCAACAGCGAUAAGGGAACCUCGAGUGCCAGGUUACAAAUCUGGCUGUCGAGAUGCCUAAAAAGCAUUUCAUAGCAAGGGCCGGGCAAGACCGGUGCCAGCCGCCGCGGUAACACCAGCGGCUCGAGUGGUAACCGUUAUUAUUGGGUCUAAAGGGUCUGUAGCCGGCCGGAUAAGUCUCUUGAGAAAUCUGGCAGCUUAACUGUCAGGCUUUCAGGAGAUACUGUCUGGCUCGAGGCCGGGAGAGGUGAGAGGUACUUCAGGGGUAGGGGUGAAAUCUUGUAAUCCUUGAAGGACCACCAGUGGCGAAGGCGUCUCACCAGAACGGACCUGACGGCAAGGGACGAAAGCUAGGGGCACGAACCGGAUUAGAUACCCGGGUAGUCCUAGCCGUAAACGAUACUCGCUAGGUGUCGGCCACGGUGCGACCGUUGUCGGUGCCGUAGGGAAGCCGUGAAGCGAGUCACCUGGGAAGUACGGCCGCAAGGCUGAAACUUAAAGGAAUUGGCGGGGGAGCAC